This 183-nucleotide non-coding RNA is filed under the name Acholeplasma sp. RNAcentral's name for it is "T-box sequence". It matches the Rfam family "T-box leader". From Rfam's summary of the family: Uncharged tRNA acts as the effector for transcription antitermination of genes in the T-box leader family. T-boxes are found upstream of many aminoacyl-tRNA synthetase genes and some amino acid biosynthetic genes usually in Gram-positive bacteria. The anticodon of a specific tRNA base pairs to a specifier sequence within the T-box motif, and the NCCA acceptor tail of the tRNA base pairs to a conserved bulge in the T-box antiterminator hairpin. The record is from RNAcentral. Lineage: Bacteria; Bacillati; Mycoplasmatota; Mollicutes; Acholeplasmatales; Acholeplasmataceae.
GUAUAACAGAUGAACAAGACGGUAUGUUAUAGAGCUUUAAAGAGAGCUAGUGUUUGGUGGAAACUAGUAAGCAAGUAAUAUACGAAUCACUUGGGAUGUUUUAUAUGGAUAAGAUAUAAACGAUAACGCGUUAUAGUUAAGAGUUAUAAAAAAAGGUGGUACCGCGAUUAAAUCGCCCUUUGU